GCGGGAGUAACUCAGUUGGUAGAGUAAUAGCCUUCCAAGCUAUCGGUCGCGGGUUCGAGUCCCGUCUCCCGCUCCA
This 76-nucleotide transfer RNA is filed under the name Acidobacteriota bacterium. Its description in RNAcentral is "tRNA-Gly". It matches the Rfam family "tRNA". Rfam says of the family: Transfer RNA (tRNA) molecules are approximately 80 nucleotides in length. Their secondary structure includes four short double-helical elements and three loops (D, anti-codon, and T loops). Lineage: Bacteria; Pseudomonadati; Acidobacteriota. RNAcentral also lists the same sequence under 1 other name. The record is from RNAcentral.